Molecule: non-coding RNA, 1176 nt
Filed under: Clarias gariepinus (North African catfish)
Lineage: Eukaryota; Metazoa; Chordata; Actinopteri; Siluriformes; Clariidae
Description: partial small subunit ribosomal RNA
Rfam family: Bacterial small subunit ribosomal RNA (bases 11-973)
Source: RNAcentral
AAAAUUCCACGGGCACAAAGGCUUGGUCCGGAUUUUAUUUUCCGCCAUAACCCAACUUAAACAUGCAAGUUUCCGCAUCCCUGUGGGAAAGCCCUCAAUCCCCCGCCCGGGGACGAGGAGCAGGCAUCAGGCACAACCCACAGCCCAAGACGCCUUGCUACGCCACACCCCCAAGGGAACUCAGCAGUAAUAAACAUUAAGCCAUAAGUGCAAACUUGACUUAGUCAGGGUUUAGAGGGUCGGUAAAAUUCGUGCCAGCCACCGCGGUUAUACGAAAGACCCCAGUUGAUAAACACGGCGUAAAGGGUGGUUAAGGGAAACAACUAAUAAAGCUAAAGACCCUCUAAGCCGUCAUACGCACUCCGAGGUCACGAAACCCAAACACGAAAGUAGCUUUAAACCUAUAACACCUGACCCCACGAAAGCUAAGAAACAAACUGGGAUUAGAUACCCCACUAUGCUUAGCCAUAAACCUAGAUGUACACUUACACACACAUCCGCCAGGGUACUACAAGCAUAGCUUAAAACCCAAAGGACUUGGCGGUGUCUCAGACCCACCUAGAGGAGCCUGUUCUAGAACCGAUAACCCCCGUUAAACCUCACCACUUCUUGUUCUUACCCGCCUAUAUACCGCCGUCGUCAGCUUACCCUGUGAAGGUAUAACAGUAAGCAAAAUGGGCCCGCCCAAAAACGUCAGGUCGAGGUGUAGCGUACGAAGUGGAAAGAAAUGGGCUACAUUUUCUAAAUCAGAAUAUUACGAACGGCACCCUGAAAAAAUGCCUGAAGGUGGAUUUAGUAGUAAAAAGCAAACAGAGUGUUCUUUUGAAUUAGGCUCUGAGACGCGCACACACCGCCCGUCACUCUCCCCUACACCAAUUUAAACCAACUAUUCCUAAUAAUACACCUAAAAACACGGGGAGGCAAGUCGUAACAUGGUAAGUGUACCGGAAGGUGCACUUGGAAUAACCAGGACGUGGCUGAGACAGAUAAGCAUCUCCCUUACACCGAGAAGACAUCCAUGCAAGUUGGAUCGCCCUGAGCUAAAAAGCUAGCUUAAACACCCAGACACCAAAAACAACAUUAAAACACCUUACAAAAACACAACACCAAAAACUAAAACAUUUUCCCGCCCAAGUACGUGAGACAGAAAAGGCUCCACCCAAAGCAAUAAUGAAA